AUGCUCACUUCCUCCUCGUCGUCCCGUUUCUCUCUCACUGCCAGUCUGACCUCUACGACGAGCGCUCUUUCUUUCACGAUCACUAACAUCUACGCGCCCGCGGAUCACGCCCUGAUGACAGAUUUCGUCGAUGACCUCAUCGCGAUUGCUGGGGGCGUCUCUGGCCCGUGGCUUCUGCUCGGGGAUUUUAACCUGAUCCGGUUCCCCCAUGAGAAGAACAACAAUCGGUUCGAUGCCACGCGGGCCGCGACUUUCAACUCGCUCAUCAACACCCUUGCUCUCCACGAGCUUGCGCUGUCCGACCGUCGGUUCACCUGGUCGAACAAACGUGACCCCCCACGCUGGCUCGUCUCGAUCGGGUCUUCUUUGACUCCGCCUCGGAUGUUGCCUUCCCAGACUUGGCCUUGUCGUCUCGCCCGCGCCCUACCUCGGAUCAUGUGCCCCUGGUAG
RNAcentral lists this ribosomal RNA (450 nucleotides) under Triticum aestivum (bread wheat). RNAcentral describes it as "partial small subunit ribosomal RNA". Lineage: Eukaryota; Viridiplantae; Streptophyta; Magnoliopsida; Poales; Poaceae. The record is from RNAcentral.